Molecule: small RNA, 125 nt
Filed under: Marmota monax (woodchuck)
Lineage: Eukaryota; Metazoa; Chordata; Mammalia; Rodentia; Sciuridae
Source: RNAcentral
GCUGGGCAUGGUGGUGCACGCCUGUAAUCCCAGUGGCUCAGGAGGCUGAGGCAGAAGGACUGCAAGUUCAAAGCCAGCCUUAGCAAUGGUAAGGCGCUAAGUAACUCAGUGAGACCCUGUCUCUA